This is a long non-coding RNA of Oxyura jamaicensis (ruddy duck), 789 nucleotides long. RefSeq lists it as uncharacterized. The record is from RefSeq and is a predicted model, not a curated record. The transcript is spliced from 5 exons. Lineage: Eukaryota; Metazoa; Chordata; Aves; Anseriformes; Anatidae.
GACGAGCUAGAACCGCACCAUCUGCAUACGGGGAUUAUACGGCUGACUCCUUCCUGCCAUUUAGAAGGUGGAAAAAUCUUGGUGUUGAGCAACGGUGGAGACUGAGCAUCUCACAUACCACCUGAUCUACCUAGCCAGGCUGGCCAGCACGACAGCAAAUUGCAUUUCUGCUCCAGGAGACAUAAAGAUGAUUGCCAGUGAGACCUGCUCUCCACAGACCUAGAGCAAUUCCUCUGGAGGCCUCCUCUCCAAACGGGGAGUAGUUUUGUGAGGAAUAGGUGGUGAUUGCCAAGACCUCUCUGUCCUGAAGCCAGCAAGUGGAAACGUUUCCGUUUCUCUUCUGGAUCUGACCCGAAGUCCCGGGACCCGAUGCCAUUCUGGAGAUUUAUUAGUGAAUCCUUCAUCUGCAAGACAAGAAACGUCUCCAAUGGGCUGCUACCCUGAAGGUGACAGAGCUUCGGGAUUUCCUUCCCCAUCAGUGCCUCCAGAAUUCUCUCCUUGACUUGCCUGGACCCCCCGUGUGAGGUGAGAGAGAAUCCAUGGUAUCCUGUGAAUGGCCCUUAGGAUCUGCUGCCCACCCCAGCCUCAGCAGAUGGAGCUAAAGGGAGACAGGAGCAGAGGAGAUGCACCUGACAGGCUGCAGCGGAUCCAGGGCUGGAGGCUGCUGAGUGGAGGCGGCUCAGGGCAGACACAAGCUGUCAGGCUGCUGACAGGAGGAUCCCCAGGCCUGGCUGCCCAGAGCUGCCGCUCAGGGCCAGAGGAAGGACACCGGUGUGUAGGUGGAGCUUG